GUUUCUGUAGUGUAGUGGUUAUCACGUUCGCCUUACACGCGAAAGGUUCUCGGGUCGAAACCUGAGCGGAAGCA
Molecule: non-coding RNA, 74 nt
Organism: Rhinopithecus roxellana (golden snub-nosed monkey)
Lineage: Eukaryota; Metazoa; Chordata; Mammalia; Primates; Cercopithecidae
Source: the annotation of a RefSeq genome assembly